AGCUGAGAGAAAUGGGCCUGGUUUUCAGACUGCCCACAGGGACCAGGAUCGCUGUGUAUUCAUUUAUGUGAGCCAUGAGCCCUAGCCCCUCAUCGUGACAGGGGUGCUCUCACAGCCAAGGCUUCCCUGAGUGUCAUGGUCCCGGCCUCGCUGUGAGCCUGUGAUGUGUGGUAACUCAUUGACCUGACCACAGGUCUCUCUCAUCUCUUACCUUUCAGGAAACAGCAAAUCCAAAGUUUCUUCUCAGUUUGAUCCAAAUAAACAGACCCCGUCUGGCAAGAAAUGCAUUGCAGCCAAAAAAAUUAAACAGUCGGUGGGAAACAAAAGCAUGUCCUUUCCAACUGGAAAGUCAGACAGAGGCUUCAGGUACAACUGGCCACAGAGAUAGUCCUGGAAGACACGUGGCGCCUGUGGACCGGAA
This 421-nucleotide small RNA is filed under the name Pan troglodytes (chimpanzee). RNAcentral's name for it is "retained intron". Lineage: Eukaryota; Metazoa; Chordata; Mammalia; Primates; Hominidae. The record is from RNAcentral.